RNAcentral lists this ribosomal RNA (361 nucleotides) under uncultured Geobacter sp. RNAcentral's name for it is "bacterial SSU rRNA". It matches the Rfam family "Bacterial small subunit ribosomal RNA", at positions 1020 to 1382 of the family's 1533-position model. Lineage: Bacteria; Pseudomonadati; Thermodesulfobacteriota; Desulfuromonadia; Geobacterales; Geobacteraceae. The record is from RNAcentral.
CGGGGAGCCGUAAGACAGGUGCUGCAUGGGCUGUCGUCAGCUCGUGUCGUGAGAUGUUGGUUAAGUCCCGCAACGAGCGCAACCCCUAUCCUCAGUUGCCAUCAUUAAGUUGGGCACUCUGUGGAGACUGCCGGUGUCAAACCGGAGGAAGGUGGGGAUGACGUCAAGUCCUCAUGGCCCUUAUGACCAGGGCUACACACGUGCUACAAUGGCCGGUACAAAGAGUUGCGAUACCGCGAGGUGGAGCUAAUCUCAUAAAGCCGGUCUCAGUUCGGAUUGGAGUCUGCAACUCGACUCCAUGAAGUUGGAAUCGCUAGUAAUCGCGGAUCAGCAUGCCGCGGUGAAUACGUUCCCGGGCCUU